RNAcentral lists this ribosomal RNA (855 nucleotides) under Hypotrachyna enderythraea. Its description in RNAcentral is "partial small subunit ribosomal RNA". It matches the Rfam family "Bacterial small subunit ribosomal RNA", at positions 357 to 1118 of the family's 1533-position model. The record is from RNAcentral. Lineage: Eukaryota; Fungi; Ascomycota; Lecanoromycetes; Lecanorales; Parmeliaceae.
AGGAAUGUAUAGCAAUAGCUAGUUGCAUCAUUUUAAAUAUGAUGCAAGAUUGACUAUGUUGAAUAAAAUUCUAGGUAGAAUUAUGAUAAUGACAUUAUCUGCCUAUGUGUCUUGACCAAAUUACGUGCCAGCAGUCGCGGUAAUACGUAGAAGACUAGUGUUAUUCAUGUUUUCGGUUUAAAGGGUACCUAGACGGCAGAUCAAGCUUUCCGAGCAGAUAAAAAAAAUAUAUUGACAAGAAGGGAAAAAGAAAAAGGACUAAUUUGCUAGAGUUACUUACGAGGGGGUUUUAAAGUACUGCUGGUGUAGAGAUGAAAUUCUGUAAUACCUCUUUUCGAAAGAAAAAUAAUGGCACAGGUAUAGGCGAAGGCAUCCCCUUAUGUGAUAACUGACGUUGAGGGACGAAGGCUUUAUAUAACGAACAGGAUUAGAUACCCUAGUAGUGGAAGCAGUAAAUGAUGAAUGUCAUAGAUUAGAUAGAUUAGUUUAUUCUAUAAAUGAAAGUGUAAGCAUUCCACCUCAUGAGUAAUUUGGCAACAUUGGAAUUGAAAUCAUUAGACCGUUUCUGAAACCAGUAGUGAAGUAUGUUGUUUAAUUUGAUGAUCCGCAAAAAACCUUACCACAAUUUGAAUAUUUAUAUUAUAUUUAUUGUUUUUUUUUCAUUUUUUUCUCUUUUCAGGUAUGAACAGAUGAUCUAGAAAGUAUGAACAGAUGAUAUAGAAAAUAAAGAAAAGAGAAAAAAAUUAAUAAGGAGGCAAUGAGAUAUAUUUACAAGCGUUGCACGGCUGUCUUCAGUUAAUGUCGCGAGAUUUUGGUUAGAUCCAUUAAAUUAACGUAAACCCUUACUUUAUUUUU